Long non-coding RNA from Trifolium pratense (red clover), 645 nucleotides. RefSeq lists it as uncharacterized. The record is from RefSeq and is a predicted model, not a curated record. NCBI's taxonomy places the organism in Eukaryota, Viridiplantae, Streptophyta, Magnoliopsida, Fabales, Fabaceae. The transcript is spliced from 2 exons.
GUAAGAAUUUUACUAAGGUGCAGUGAUCAAUUCAAUUGUGUGAAUUAAAGAGACAAACAUGACACAUCAAUAUACUAAAGAGUUACAUGUAAUAACAAUCAUUAUUUUAGGAAGAGCUUCUUGUAACUUCAUAGGUGCAAAAAAAUUGAUUUAAUUAUACAGAGCAUGUUCUUUUACAUUAUAAAUAAAAUGAUCAAACAUAUAGUUUAUUACAUGCAAAGGAUGAAUAAUAUGGAUAAAUUAUUCAAGUUUGUUUAUAUUACGAUCUUCUCUUUUUUCUUAUUUUUUGUUGUAUGCAACGCAUAUUUUGUACCAUUAUUGUACAUGUGUUUCAAUUCCCAAGAUUGUCCAAACAAGUUCUGCACCCACCCUGAUGUUGUGACGUGCAAAUGGUUUAUGUGUUCAUGCGUAUAGAUCGAUCACUCAUGACUAUCGGUUAAAGGUUAUUCAUCAUAAAUUGGAAGCCCUAUAAUUUUACGAUGAAUUCUUGUAUAUAUAAAGUGAAUAAUUCUCAUAAAUUCAUAAAUAGUAGUGUUCAUUAAAUUUUAGACGUAUCAAAAUUAUCUACUUCAGCGAUAUAUCAGCUUCAGUAUAUAUCCAUAUCCAAAUAACUAAAAUAAGAGUGUUCACCUAAUUUCAUAUGCA